This 162-nucleotide ribosomal RNA is filed under the name Triticum aestivum (bread wheat). Its description in RNAcentral is "partial small subunit ribosomal RNA". The record is from RNAcentral. Lineage: Eukaryota; Viridiplantae; Streptophyta; Magnoliopsida; Poales; Poaceae.
AUGAUUUCUUUUCCAUUUAAUUUUGUAUUUGGAGAAAUUGUGUAUAUAUAUAUAUACACACAAUUUCUCCAAAUUGGUGCCUUCGGAGCCAGUGGCAUUAGCCUAGCUAAUUGGUGCCUUCGGAGCACGAUAACAAUUGGAAGUGGUUCAUGGGGGCGGUAG